RNAcentral lists this transfer RNA (69 nucleotides) under Triticum aestivum (bread wheat). It matches the Rfam family "tRNA". From Rfam's summary of the family: Transfer RNA (tRNA) molecules are approximately 80 nucleotides in length. Their secondary structure includes four short double-helical elements and three loops (D, anti-codon, and T loops). Further hydrogen bonds mediate the characteristic L-shaped molecular structure. tRNAs have two regions of fundamental functional importance: the anti-codon, which is responsible for specific mRNA codon recognition, and the 3' end, to which the tRNAs corresponding amino acid is attached (by aminoacyl-tRNA synthetases). tRNAs cope with the degeneracy of the genetic code in two manners: having more than one tRNA (with a specific anti-codon) for a particular amino acid; and 'wobble' base-pairing, i.e. permitting non-standard base-pairing at the 3rd anti-codon position. The record is from Rfam by way of RNAcentral. RNAcentral also lists the same sequence under 1 other name. Lineage: Eukaryota; Viridiplantae; Streptophyta; Magnoliopsida; Poales; Poaceae.
UCCAUUGCUCAGUUGGUAAAGCACAAAGCUCUUAACCUUGUGGACGUGGGUUCCAGCCCUACGAUGGAA